RNAcentral lists this long non-coding RNA (878 nucleotides) under Musa acuminata (dwarf banana). Its description in RNAcentral is "long non-coding RNA (MACU_LNC003316)". Lineage: Eukaryota; Viridiplantae; Streptophyta; Magnoliopsida; Zingiberales; Musaceae. The record is from RNAcentral.
UAUGUUCCAAUUACUCUGUGCUCCAUUUGCUAUGAACUGAUAUGUUCUGAAAUGUCCUAUCUGCCAUUGAUAUGUUCCAAUUACUUUAUGCUCCAUUCGUUAUGGAUCAAAUAUAUUUUGAAUGACAUGAUACGUAUGAUUUGGUAUCUAUUGAGAUGGUAUCCUUGAGAAUUCUUGUAUUCUGCCUUGCAUUAUGAUACCUUACUCGUUUCAAACCGUUCCUUUUGUUCUGAAUAUGCUUUGUCACUUGCUGAGCCGUUUUUGGCUCACUCCGUUGUUAUAUAAAUCUUUCAGGUCAGCUUGUCACUCUUCGAGAUGUUUGAUUUGGGCUGAGGCAGUGGAUAGCUAUUCAGAAUGAUGGGCAAGUCUGGUUGGUUAUUACGAUAUUGUUGUAUAAGUAUCUUUUGUAUGUAAUGAAAUGUUGUCGAGGAACCGAAAUGGAUAUACUGUGUCAAGUGUUAGGAGAUCUCUCUUAUUUGGAAUUUCUGAAUGUUAAGUCUAAUUUAUGAUGUUAUGAACUUGUGGUGAAUAGUUGGAGUUCUGAUUGUAUAAUUUAUUUAGCUUGUGGAUUUAUAAAUGUUGUUCAUGUUUGUCAAGUUGGCUUGGGUUGCCAUAAAUGUGAAUUAUCGAGUGAUGUGAUAUAUGAUUAUAAACUGCACAGGUUUUAUAGAUGUGAAUAUGAAUAGAAUGUUUUUCAGUGUCCUCAAACGUUAGUUUGGAUCUUGGAUUGGUCUGUGAUGAAAAUUUUAAAAAAAUCAUGGAUAUUUUGAGGGGCGUGACAGCUAAGGGCUUCAGUAUUGCUAGUCGAGGAGCGACCCUAGUCCUCUGAGCUUCAUGGUUCAAUCACUCCUCUUGAUGUCGUGCGAAAGAGAUGGCUG